UGAGCAAUCUGCCCUUCUCUUCGGAAUAAGCGUUGGAAACGACGUCUAAUGCCGAAUACGACCUCCUUUCGCAUGAUCGGAGGUGGAAAGCUCCGGCGGAGAAGGAUGAGCUCGCGGCCUAUCAGCUAGUUGGUGUGGGUAAUGGCCCACCAAGGCGACGACGGGUAGCCGGCCUGAGAGGGUGACCGGCCACACGUGGGACUGAGACACGGCCCACGACUCCUACGGGAGGNAGACG
RNAcentral lists this ribosomal RNA (238 nucleotides) under uncultured bacterium. RNAcentral describes it as "partial 16S ribosomal RNA". It matches the Rfam family "Bacterial small subunit ribosomal RNA", at positions 118 to 351 of the family's 1533-position model. The record is from RNAcentral.